This 1490-nucleotide ribosomal RNA is filed under the name metagenome. RNAcentral's name for it is "bacterial SSU rRNA". It matches the Rfam family "Bacterial small subunit ribosomal RNA". The record is from RNAcentral.
AGAGUUUGAUCCUGGCUCAGGAUGAACGCUGGCGGCGUGCUUAACACAUGCAAGUCGAACGAAGCACUUUAUUUGAUUUCCUUCGGGACUGAUUAUUUUGUGACUGAGUGGCGGACGGGUGAGUAACGCGUGGGUAACCUGCCUUGUACAGGGGGAUAACAGUUGGAAACGGCUGCUAAUACCGCAUAAGCGCACAGCAUCACAUGAUGCAGUGUGAAAAACUCCGGUGGUAUAAGAUGGACCCGCGUUGGAUUAGCUAGUUGGUGAGGUAACGGCCCACCAAGGCGACGAUCCAUAGCCGACCUGAGAGGGUGACCGGCCACAUUGGGACUGAGACACGGCCCAAACUCCUACGGGAGGCAGCAGUGGGGAAUAUUGCACAAUGGGCGAAAGCCUGAUGCAGCGACGCCGCGUGAGCGAAGAAGUAUUUCGGUAUGUAAAGCUCUAUCAGCAGGGAGGAUAAUGACGGUACCUGACUAAGAAGCACCGGCUAAAUACGUGCCAGCAGCCGCGGUAAUACGUAUGGUGCAAGCGUUAUCCGGAUUUACUGGGUGUAAAGGGAGCGCAGGCGGUGCGGCAAGUCUGAUGUGAAAGCCCGGGGCUCAACCCCGGUACUGCAUUGGAAACUGUCGUACUAGAGUGUCGGAGGGGUAAGCGGAAUUCCUAGUGUAGCGGUGAAAUGCGUAGAUAUUAGGAGGAACACCAGUGGCGAAGGCGGCUUACUGGACGAUAACUGACGCUGAGGCUCGAAAGCGUGGGGAGCAAACAGGAUUAGAUACCCUGGUAGUCACGCCGUAAACGAUGAAUACUAGGUGUAGGGGUUGUCAUGACCUCUGUGCCGCCGCUAACGCAUUAAGUAUUCCGCCUGGGGAGUACGGUCGCAAGAUUAAAACUCAAAGGAAUUGACGGGGGCCCGCACAAGCAGCGGAGCAUGUGGUUUAAUUCGAAGCAACGCGAAGAACCUUACCUAGACUUGACAUCUCCUGCAUUACCCUUAAUCGGGGAAGUUCCUUCGGGGACAGGAAGACAGGUGGUGCAUGGUUGUCGUCAGCUCGUGUCGUGAGAUGUUGGGUUAAGUCCCGCAACGAGCGCAACCCUUAUUGUUAGUUGCUACCAUUUAGUUGAGCACUCUAGCGAGACUGCCCGGGUUAACCGGGAGGAAGGUGGGGAUGACGUCAAAUCAUCAUGCCCCUUAUGUCUAGGGCUACACACGUGCUACAAUGGCAAGUACAAAGAGAAGCAAGACCGCGAGGUGGAGCAAAACUCAAAAACUUGUCUCAGUUCGGAUUGUAGGCUGAAACUCGCCUACAUGAAGCUGGAGUUGCUAGUAAUCGCGAAUCAGCAUGUCGCGGUGAAUACGUUCCCGGGCCUUGUACACACCGCCCGUCACACCAUGAGAGUUGGCAAUACCCAAAGUGCGUGAUCUGACUCGCAAGAGAGGAAGCGCCCUAAGGUAGGGUCAGCGAUUGGGGUGAAGUCGUAACAAGGUA